AGAGUUUGAUCCUGGCUCAGAUUGAACGCUGGCGGCGUGCCUUACACAUGCAAGUCGAACGGCAGCACGGGAGCAAUCCUGGUGGCGAGUGGCGAACGGGUGAGUAAUAUAUCGGAACGUGCCCAGUCGUGGGGGAUAACGCAGCGAAAGCUGUGCUAAUACCGCAUACGAUCUCUGGAUGAAAGCGGGGGACUCGCAAGGGCCUCGCGCGAUUGGAGCGGCCGAUAUCAGAUUAGCUAGUUGGUGGGGUAAAAGCCCACCAAGGCGACGAUCUGUAGCUGGUCUGAGAGGACGACCAGCCACACUGGAACUGAGACACGGUCCAGACUCCUACGGGAGGCAGCAGUGGGGAAUUUUGGACAAUGGGCGCAAGCCUGAUCCAGCAAUGCCGCGUGCAGGAUGAAGGCCUUCGGGUUGUAAACUGCUUUUGUACGGAACGAAACGGCGAGCUCUA
Molecule: ribosomal RNA, 454 nt
Filed under: uncultured bacterium
Lineage: Bacteria
Description: bacterial SSU rRNA
Rfam family: Bacterial small subunit ribosomal RNA
Source: RNAcentral